Molecule: ribosomal RNA, 403 nt
Filed under: uncultured bacterium
Lineage: Bacteria
Description: partial 16S ribosomal RNA
Rfam family: Bacterial small subunit ribosomal RNA
Source: RNAcentral
AUUGAAUGCUGGCGGCAGGCCUAACACAUGCAAGUCGGGCGAGCGGCGGACGGGUGAGUAAUGCAUGGGGACUGCCUGAUGGAGGGGGAUAACUACUGGAAACGGUAGCUAAUACCGCAUACUAUCGGAUAACCCAUAUGGGAUUAGCUAGUAGGUGGGGUAAAGGCUCACCUAGGCGACGAUCUCUAGCUGGUCUGAGAGGAUGAUCAGCAAAACUAGGACUGUAACGCGACCCAGAAUCCAACGGAGGCAGCAGUGAGAAAUAUUGCAAAAUGGACGCAAGCCUGAUGCGGCCAUGCCGCGUGAAUGAAGAGGUCCUUAGGGUUGUAAAGUACUUUCAGCGGGGAAGCGUUACCCGCAGAAGAAGCACCGGCUAACUCCGUGCCAGCAGCCGCGGUAAUAC